Molecule: ribosomal RNA, 478 nt
Filed under: uncultured bacterium
Lineage: Bacteria
Description: partial 16S ribosomal RNA
Rfam family: Bacterial small subunit ribosomal RNA
Source: RNAcentral
GACGAACGCUGGCGGCGUGCUUAACACAUGCAAGUCGAACGGUAAGGCCCUUCGGGGUACACGAGUGGCGAACGGGUGAGUAACACGUGGGUGAUCUGCCCUGCACUUCGGGAUAAGCCUGGGAAACUGGGUCUAAUACCGGAUAGGACCACUGCCUGCAUGGGUGGUGGUGGAAAGCUUUUGCGGUGUGGGAUGGGCCCGCGGCCUAUCAGCUUGUUGGUGGGGUGAUGGCCUACCAAGGCGACGACGGGUAGCCGGCCUGGGAGGGUGACCGGCCACACUGGGACUGAGAUACGGCCCAGACUCCUACGGGAGGCAGCAGUGGGGAAUAUUGCACAAUGGGCGCAAGCCUGAUGCAGCGACGCCGCGUGAGGGAUGACGGCCUUCGGGUUGUAAACCUCUUUCAGCACCGACGAAGCGCAAGUGACGGUAGGUGCAGAAGAAGGACCGGCCAACUACGUGCCAGCAGCCGCCGUAC